AUGACACAGGGCUACUGGGACAUCUGAGGGCUGACCCACACCAUCUGCCUGCUCCAGCAAUACACAGACUCAAGCUAUGAGGAAAAGAAGUACACGAUGGGGGGGUGCUCCUGACUCUGACAGAAGCCAGUGGUUGAAUGAAAAAGUUGAGCUAGGCCUGGACUUUCCCAAUCUGCCCUACUUGACUGAUGGGGCUCACAAGAUAACCCAGAGCAAGGCCAUCCUGGGCUGCAUUGCCUACAAGCACAACCUGUGUGGGGAGACAGAAAGGGAGAAGAUUUGGGAAGACAGUUUGGAGAACCAGCUUAUGGACAACCAAAUGCAGCUGGCCAGACUCUGCUACAACGCAGGUUCUGAGAAACUGAAGCCAGAAUAUCUGGAGGCACUCCCUGCAAUGCUGAAAUUCUACUCACAGUUUCUGGGGAAGCAGCCAUGGUUUCUUGGGGACAAGAUCGCCCUUGUGGAUUUCAUUGCUUAUGAUGUCCUUGAGAGAAACCAAGUAUUUGAGCCCAAGUGCUUGGAUGCUUUCCCAAACCUGAAGGACUUCAUCUCCCGAUUUGAGGGCUUGGAGAUCUCUGCCUACACGAAAUCCAGCCGCUUCCUCCCAAGACCUGUGUUCACAAAGAUGGCUGUCUGGGGCAACAAGUAGUGCCUUGAAGGCCAGGAGGUGGCAGUGAGCUGCCCAUACUCAACCUGCUGCCCAGACUGUGUAGAGCAGCUGGACUCCACACCCCAGCCCCUGCCUUCUUGUU
Molecule: non-coding RNA, 752 nt
Organism: Macaca mulatta (Rhesus monkey)
Lineage: Eukaryota; Metazoa; Chordata; Mammalia; Primates; Cercopithecidae
Source: RefSeq, a predicted model, not a curated record